This 329-nucleotide ribosomal RNA is filed under the name uncultured eukaryote. RNAcentral describes it as "partial 18S ribosomal RNA". It matches the Rfam family "Eukaryotic small subunit ribosomal RNA", at positions 1470 to 1796 of the family's 1831-position model. The record is from RNAcentral.
CCCUUAGAUGUCCUGGGCCGCACGCGCGCUACACUGAGUGUCUGAGAUACGAGUCUGCCUGGUCCGGCAAGGUCUAGGUAAUCGCUAAAAGACACAUCAUGCUUGGGAUAGAUUAUUGCAAAUAUUAAUCUUGAACGAGGAAUUCCUAGUAAGCGCAAGUCAACAGCUUGCGUUGAUUACGUCCCUGCCCUUUGUACACACCGCCCGUCGCUACUACUGAUUGGAUGUUUAAGCGAGGUUCUCGAACUACUAGCGACUUAGCUUCGGUGAGGUCGCAGUGUGGGAAGUGAACCUAGCUUUGGUGUCUAGAGGAAGUAAAAGUCGUAACA